Molecule: non-coding RNA, 422 nt
Organism: Myodes glareolus (Bank vole)
Lineage: Eukaryota; Metazoa; Chordata; Mammalia; Rodentia; Cricetidae
Source: RefSeq, a predicted model, not a curated record
CCAGACACUGAAGAAGGAAGAUGUGACCUGCCCUACCAAAAAAGGAGUUCAUGAUUCCCUGCAUCCUGGUGAAGAGGACCACAUAGAAGGUCCUGGCCAUCUACAAGGACGUCCUGCACUGUUCCCGUGCUCCUCUGCGGUUUGAAGUAGAGUGCAGGGGAGGAGGCCAAGGCCACAUGGUGAAGGUGAGCCAGCUUAACACCCACAAGCUUGGUACCUCUGCCACAGAAUCCCACAGUCAUCUGAGGAGGACUGAGCAGGAGACCAAGGCCGAUCUCACACAGGAAAGAGAAUUUGGAUGUCCAGGCUGUUUCUUAGAAUGGAUACCAGAUCAGGAGAACCAGGGUGGCAGAAACAACUCAAAAUCAACUCAGCAUUCAACCUGACAAAGGAUGGACGUGGUCCUGGGAUGCCAUGGGAUG